GAUGAACGCUGGCGGCGUGCCUAACACAUGCAAGUCGAACGAAGCGAUUUAACGGAAGUUUUCGGAUGGAAGUUGAAUUGACUGAGUGGCGGACGGGUGAGUAACGCGUGGGUAACCUGCCUUGUACUGGGGGACAACAGUUAGAAAUGACUGCUAAUACCGCAUAAGCGCACAGUAUCGCAUGAUACAGUGUGAAAAACUCCGGUGGUACAAGAUGGACCCGCGUCUGAUUAGCUAGUUGGUAAGGUAACGGCUUACCAAGGCGACGAUCAGUAGCCGACCUGAGAGGGUGACCGGCCACAUUGGGACUGAGACACGGCCCAAACUCCUACGGGAGGCAGCAGUGGGGAAUAUUGCACAAUGGGCGAAAGCCUGAUGCAGCGACGCCGCGUGAGUGAAGAAGUAUUUCGGUAUGUAAAGCUCUAUCAGCAGGGAAGAAAAUGACGGUACCUGACUAAGAAGCCCCGGCUAACUACGUGCCAGCAGCCGCGGUAAUACGUAGGGGGCAAGCGUUAUCCGGAUUUACUGGGUGUAAAGGGAGCGUAGACGGUAAAGCAAGUCUGAAGUGAAAGCCCGCGGCUCAACUGCGGGACUGCUUUGGAAACUGUUUAACUGGAGUGUCGGAGAGGUAAGUGGAAUUCCUAGUGUAGCGGUGAAAUGCGUAGAUAUUAGGAGGAACACCAGUGGCGA
Molecule: ribosomal RNA, 690 nt
Filed under: uncultured Lachnospiraceae bacterium
Lineage: Bacteria; Bacillati; Bacillota; Clostridia; Lachnospirales; Lachnospiraceae
Description: bacterial SSU rRNA
Rfam family: Bacterial small subunit ribosomal RNA
Source: RNAcentral